CGGAGAAUAGCGUGAAGCCUCCACAUGUGCUAUGUCUCUGCGGUAAUGCACUCAACAAGCCAGGUUUAAGGGUUGACGGUCUCAACCCGGAUUGAGAUCAGAGCCACAGUAAAUAAUGGCAGAAAUGAAAUGGCAAAAGAGAAAUCCUAAAACCACAGGAGGAGUCUAUACAGUUUACUUUAAAGAAUAAAGACAAGGAUGGCCUUGAGGACAGAUUCAUCAAUGACUUUAAAGGACAAUGAAGUUCAGCUGUGUGACACUGCACCAGGAAUCAGAUAGCUUUUAUCGUUGUCUUGGUCUGAGGGCCUGUCUUCAGUCUCCUGCUCUCCUUGCAGCGCCCCCACCAUGGAGCCCAGCGUCCCAAAGCUACCUGCGUGGUUCUCCACCUGUGCAGAAACACACAGGCUGACCUCUGACCCCUUCAGUUUGGGCAGGACCUCAGGCUGGGAGACGGGUGUGAUACUGUCACCUGUGCUCUGUACAGUAAUGCUGGACUGAAUGUGGCACAUUUGGAAAAUACGUAAGGGAUAAUGUAUUGUCAGUUGUUAUCGCAAAGCAAACCUGACAGGAUGAUCAGGAAAAGUAAAGUCUUGUAUCGCACUGAAGGGGUUUAUUCUGCAAUAACAACCGGUUGACUUUACAGGAACCUGCUUAGUACACGGCUAUAUACCAAAUAAGUAAAUAAAUGGACAUAAAAUACUGAUUUGCAUUGAAAUUAUGUAAUUAUGUGGGAACAAAGAAAUCGCUGAACAGCUGAUUUGCACCCCGGUUAGCAUCAGAGUUCUGUUGUUGUUUAUUUUGUAAAUAAUGACCAACCGGGUGCUCUUUAUAUACAAGACUACUUG
Molecule: long non-coding RNA, 845 nt
Organism: Xyrauchen texanus (razorback sucker)
Lineage: Eukaryota; Metazoa; Chordata; Actinopteri; Cypriniformes; Catostomidae
Exons: 3
Source: RefSeq, a predicted model, not a curated record